Molecule: ribosomal RNA, 700 nt
Filed under: uncultured fungus
Lineage: Eukaryota; Fungi
Description: eukaryotic LSU rRNA
Rfam family: 5.8S ribosomal RNA (bases 277-428)
Source: RNAcentral
UCCGUAGGUGAACCUGCAGAUGGAUCAUUUCGAUGAAAACCUUUUUUUCUUGAGGUGUGGCUCGCACCUGUCUAACUAAACUUGAGCUACCUUUUUUCAACACGGUUGCAUCGGUUGGCCUGUCAAACAGUGCGGCGGCGUGAAUUUUCACGUCUGCUUUGGCUGGGCGACGGACCGACACUUAAUCAACACUUUUGAUAAUCUAGGAUUUGAAUGAUAAAAGUUCAUUUUUACAAUGGAAUCGACUGGUAAUGCGGUCGUCUAAUUUUUAAAAACAACUUUUGGCAACGGAUCUCUUGGUUCUCCCAUCGAUGAAGAACGCAGCGAAUUGCGAUAAGUAAUGUGAAUUGCAGAACCGUGAGUCAUCAGAUUUUUGAACGCAUCUGGCGCUGGCUGGGUCUCCAGCCAGCAUGCUUGUUUCAGUGUCUUGUUUUCUCCUCACCCAAAAACUUAAUGCGAGAGAUACCCUUCUCUUGUCAAGCAUGAAAGCACUCUGCGCUCUGCGAGCGGCUUCUGACUAGCUCAGUUGUCGCACUCAAUGCAGCCGUCACAUUUCUUUUAAUGGUGGAACUCCAUUGGAGGAGGCAGGAGGGCUGGUCAGCUCACGGCUGGUCAGGUGGCUUAGGGUCACUUAAACUUUCUUUGCAUCUGAAAUCAAGCAGGAUCACCCGCUGAACUUAAGCAUAUCAAUAAGCGGAGG